Long non-coding RNA from Xenopus laevis (African clawed frog), 4157 nucleotides. RefSeq lists it as uncharacterized. Lineage: Eukaryota; Metazoa; Chordata; Amphibia; Anura; Pipidae. The record is from RefSeq and is a predicted model, not a curated record. The transcript is spliced from 3 exons.
GACAGCCAAAGCAGCCACACAGAUUAUUGCAUACGCACAACAGAGCUGGGCCGGUCGGCUUUAACCCCUUCUACAUGCUGGUCCGCCAGCCUGCCGUGUACUUGUUGUAUUUCUUCAGCUACAGGAACAGAGGGUUACUGAAAAGCAUGCUAAUAGACUCGGUGACCCCGAAGAGUACCCUCUGGUGGUAAAACAUAAUAGGUUGUGGAAAACACAGCAAGCAGAUGGUGGUUUCCUUAGCUGACAGAGUGAGAAGUGGCAGUCCAUAUCGAAGAGAAAAAAACGAAAGAAGAAGAAACCAAAUGAGGUUGAAGACAUGGAAACCACUGUAGAUUGCCUAUGGAUAGGACUGACCUGCUGAGCCCACAGAAACCAUGGCAGAUAAGCCUUGAGUACUGUAUUGUACCCUACAGUUACAGAUAUAAUCAAAAGUUUUAUGACAUAAUUACAGGAGAAUCAAAGUUGUAGCAAUGUAGUAGCAGGUGCCAGGUCUAAUAAUUAAUAGCAACCAAACUGAUAUUUAAUUUAAUUAAUUCUUGCAGUAGACUGCCAAAUGUUAACUGCUGAUUGGUUGCUGUGAUUUAUUUAAUCAUGGAUUAGACCUUGCACAUUGGGGUGUACUGCUUUAGUUCAAAUUUAUCCAUUUGAUAAUCUUUUUAUUUUCUUUUCCUCCAGAAGAAGAGUAGAAGAAAUGGUGAACUGGUGAAACUUGAAUAUAAAUCCUAGAAAUAAGGUAUAUUUAUUUCAUUAACGUCCAAAAUAAAAAUCAUAGGUAUAGUAUCAAUGAGUAUGUUCUAUAACAAUUACACAAUAUUCUGUAAUGUCAGUAAACUCUUGGUAUACGCUAAACGUUUCUGUUUAUGGGGCAGCAAUAAAUAAUAUCUAGUGGCUACUAUGUAGAAAUGUCUGCAAUAAAAACAAGAGAACUAUGGGCUCAUUUAUCAAUGGUAUUAUGUUAUCCACACCCCUGUAAUAGGCCGCAUCAUGCUUUAGUGCACUGGAACCCUGUAGAUUUUGGAUUGAGCAGAACCCUGACUGAUGAGAAAAGGGACAUCCCUAUCCUGCCACAUUCCACCUUCUACAUGGAAGACAUAACCUGUGACCAAAAGCAGGAUUUUCACUACCCAGCUGAAAUCUUAGUGCCUCCAGAAACCAGGCACAGAAAUUUGUGGUAGAUCGCAACAGGUACAAUUAUGCUAGAAUUCUGCUGCUACAUUGGUCUCUGUAUAUUGGGAGGCUGUAUAUAUAAAUGGCUGCCCAUUGCUGCAGUAAAUCUUGUAAAAACAAAAGCCAUUCUUUAAGGUGCUUGUGUCCAAAGCAGCUGCUUGCACUUCCAUAUAGCUUGAUUUCAACUGAAAUUUUCAGCACGAUUGAUUCUGAUUUUAAGUACUCACACAAGUUUGCUCAUUUUAACUCAUGGCCCCCUCAAGGUCAGAAUGAUGCUGAAUUAUGUAAAAAACACGGUGGCCUGCAUCCAGAUUAUACCUUACAUACUUUACACCUUACGGGUUUUGUGUUGUUCAUAUAUCCAGGUGCGUAAUUACUAUAAAGGCACUUGAGGGCCUGUGCCUAAGGCAGCAGCUUUAAGGGGAGGCUGCCCUCGGAUACAUCCAUCAAGCGUUGCGUGUCACACCGUGAUAUCAUAUCUGCUGAUGUCAUGCAGGAGCGCUCGCAGGUCUGGUACUCUAAGUUUGUAUAGUAAUUUAGAUUUCCAAGAAUCAGUUAUGGAUUCUUACCAAUUCUCUCAGGACACGCAAGCACACUAGUAAAUCAGUUACUGCAGAGAUUCAGAGCCUUUAUUCGCCAAGGCCUCACAUGUUUAUCAUUGUAAGUACUGUUUAUCAUUGCAAGGCCUCAUCCAGGUAAGCAGCAAAAUAUGCCUGUGUUCAUCAUGAGCCUGAUAAACAGGGUUUGGUUUAAAAUGUAUGCUGCCUUUUGUUUUAAAUACAGUUUUCUUUAUAUGUUGUACCAAACAGCAAGAGAAUAUUACCUUCUACCUUCUUCAGAGCAAAGCUAAAAGGAUAAAAAAAAAAACAACAUUUAAGGCAAGAAUGGGCAAAUAUCUACUGUGCUGAUAUUAUGCUGUGAUUCCCAUGGCCUGCAAUGGCGGAAGGUUUCAUUAAAACAUCAUGACAUUGCAGGAGGAAAAACCCAGGGGUUCAAACAUCUGCACUGGUUAUGUGUGCCAUAGGCCUAACACUGCUUAUUCCAUGAGAGUUUGGUGUUGGUAGAAAGAGCAAAUAUAAAAACAGAACCAUUACUUCUUCACAGCUGAAAAUUAUAAAGAAAUGUAACAUAAUUUGGCUCAUGUAGAACACAAUUGCAUAAUUACUCAUUAAAAUACAACUGCUUACAUUGCAAAAUAAUUUUAGACAUGCCUGAAAAUAUAGAUUGCCUCUUGGAAAACACAAUAACAAGAAAAACUGGAAUUCUGUGUUUUAUCUAAGUAAUACAAAGACAAUCUUUUGAACCCUGUAACUAUUAUACAGUCUUCAGUAUGAAGCCAUUUAAUACAAUAGAAGAAACUGCUGUACAAGUAGUCACUCCUAUAAAUAAAAAUAAGGGAUGCAUUAUGAACUGUGAAAGAGAAAUGGAAGGACAUAAAACCCCUGUGCAUGCUGUUUUAAGUUGGCAAUGUUCAGGUCUAGUGCCCAUAGCAGCCAAUCAGAUAUUUGCAUUUAAAGAGCUGACUCUUAUAUUCUACCUGCUGAUUGGCAUUGGUUACUUGAAUUGUAGAAAUCUUUGUACCUUUCGUCCCAUUUGUAUAAAACCCUAUGCAUACAUACAUAUAAAUGUAAAUGUGAUGAAAUAGGGUGCAAUAUGGUUGAAAGCAAUAUCUAGAAUAAAAGAUAUCUAACACUGGUCCCGCACUCUAACACUAUACCACUGGUUAUAUUAUAUUUUCUCUUGCUGACACUAUAGCAAGAAAAUGUGUAAUAUAAAUUGUUAUACCUGUAAUGCUUUUAUAUGGGACCAAAUGGUGAAAAAGUUUGUUGCUUUAAAAAUUGUAAAUCUAAAUCUAGGACAGCUAGAAGGUAAUGUGACUUGUUUGGCUGCACACAAACAAUUCCCAUAACUAUGAUUCAUUUUGUUUUUUUGGAAAAUGUUCCCACUUGCAUUGUUACAGUUUCACUCAAAUUCCCCCAUCCUUCAAACAUGGGUACCCUGCAGACUAUUUCAAAACUUUCAUCUUUCAUUCUGUUGAGUGUUAAAUGACUAAUUUUGACAUAUGUUUUCAGUCUUUGUCUUGCUGAAAUAUUCUUGUUCUCAGCUUCAGUUUCUUAACAACAUUACUUCAAUUGUUUUUCUCUUUUGUGCAGAAAAAUGGACCUGGUUAUAAUAGUAUGCAUAUAGAUUGCCAGCACCUGUUUUGUUAUUGUAUAAUUAUUCUACUAGUCAAAGAUUUCCUUUUUUUGGCCAUUCAACAAAAAACAUACAACUUAAUAAGUACCAGUUAUUCUCAUUCCUUUUAAAUGACUAGGCUUUUGGAGCCUGGAUUUGGAGAAACUUGAUACCGAGUCAUGACUUUUAUAUAACAUCUCUUUCCUGUCCAUGAAAAUUUUUGAAUUUAGUCACAAACGAUUGAGAAGGAAAUUACAUGAUUAAUAGCCUUUAUGUAGACUUUGCUGUAUAUGACAGAUUUUUUUUUAAAAAAACAUUUAGGUCUAGCUUUUAUGUUACUCUGUGUAAUUUAGACUUCCCAUAGACUGCACGUAGUGCACGUAAAUCCUUUUUUAUGAAGCAUCACCACCAUUGCUACAAAAUACCCACCGCUACCAUAAGGAUGCAAUAAGAAAGAAAUUGUACAAGCCAGUCACAUCAUAAGCAUGUGAUUGCCUGCCAGAGGGAUUUACAUUUCAAAACCUCACAAAAUACUGUUUCAUUAAUAUGGUUUUCAAGUUGUGGGGGCAUCAGUGGCUAGGGCUUGUGAUGAGAAAAAGGGGGGCUUGCUCACAACCUGAAACUAACAUGUUUCAAUUAAACAGAUUCCUGAUCUGUAAUCAAUACAAAUGAGUUAAUUAACAUAUAAAGUUUAUGUCAUUAACAUUACAAAUGGUGCUUGAAAAAUACAGUGUAAACAUCAAACAAUUAACACACACUGAUCUGCUACACCAGUUCUUAAAGAGAUACCGACACCAGAUGUUUUUUUUUACAUC